This is a long non-coding RNA of Lagopus muta (rock ptarmigan), 2881 nucleotides long. RefSeq lists it as uncharacterized. The transcript is spliced from 6 exons. The record is from RefSeq and is a predicted model, not a curated record. NCBI's taxonomy places the organism in Eukaryota, Metazoa, Chordata, Aves, Galliformes, Phasianidae.
CUGGUACCUGAGGCUUCCUGAAAAGAGGUAUGGUUAAAGAACAAAGUUGCAGAUCUGUUAUAAAGGAUAAGAGAAAAAUACUGCUCCUGACCUUUUGGUGAAGAGGCCUGAUGUUUUUUUCUUCCUUUCAAAUUGGUGAAGUUAAUAAAGGAGUACCAAAUAGAUGGCACAGUUCUUUGUAACCUUUGCAAAUCCAAGCAUUGGUGCAAACCUUGAACAGCUCGGGGUGGUGCUGUUACUGAGACCAAUGGUCUGAUUGAUCUCAAUCCUCCAGACUCCUGUUUUGGGAAGACUGAGAUAAAAGAAACUGCGGUUUCAUAUUCCUACUCUUUCAGUGGCCAAUCAAGUUGAAGAAACUUCAAAAUCUUCCCUAUCAUCACUUCUGAGAUAUGACCCUUGAUUGACCUUGUUCAACAGUUUGUGUCUACCCAAAUUGUCAGUCGAUUUUAAUGUAAAACAAACAAGCAAAGAGAAUAGGAACUCUUACAUGGCUCUAUCACCUUUUCUAUUUAUUAUUGGUUCACUGCCUUCUCCCCAGAAUCAUUCUCACAGACAUGCUAAAUCUGCUACUGGUAUUAGGAAGGUGUGGGAAAGGGUAAGAAAACUUACUCUGCUUACUAUUAAGAAAGAUCAACUGAAUGUCAUUAAACUGACUGAAAUGAUAUUUAUAGAAAUAUCUUUGGAUAACAGCAGGGAAGGACUUCUGCAUAUAAGGAGGAAAAGUCUGUUCUUUAUAGUGUGUAUAAAAUGAACGUGUUAGAGGAACUGUAACACUCUAGAGGUAUUUGUGGUCAGCCUUAUCUGCUCUUUUUUUCAAGGAUCCUGAAUUACUACUCUCUGGCCUGAACAGUUUUCAAGUUAAAGAGUCAUCCAGAAUCUCAACAUAUGUGGUUUGAAGAAAAGCAUGUAUUUCACAUCUCAAAGCACAAAAAAGAGGAAGAAAAGAGGUUAAAGGCAGUAUAAAAAUGCUACCUCCGCAGAUACCUUCCAGCUGAAGGGAUGUAAAGAAAAACUGUCUCGUGGAAAUGUUAAUGGCAAGAUUAAAUUAGGUUGAUGGGAACAACCCCUCAAGGAAACAUAGGCUUGAACUAGACUGAUUUUUCAUGUAGUAUUUUUUGUUGCUUUGGCUUUAGAACUCUAUGUAACAUUGUUACAUUGUAGGUUAAAAUAAGAAGGGUUUGAGAUGAGACAGGACCAGAAAUGUAUCCCAGCAUGUCAAAGAGAUUCACAGACACCUAUGGCCAGGGACUUCUUUUUCAACUGCCAAAUGCAAUGCAGCUUUCAGAAUGCCUCGCAAGAGGCAGAAAUGUCUUCCCAUGCUUGCUUAAGGCCACCAAAGGUAGGUGUGUUGUUUGCUGAAAAUGGGCAGGAGGACAUCCUGAUAUGUCUUAAUUUAUUAAGACCUGGGGUUUGCCACACUUCUGGACCUGCAAAGCAUGCAAGUGAUGCUCUUUGUAUGUCAGCACUUCAUAGCAGAGCAAUACACUGAAGUAAUAUACCCACACUUACAGAUAAAGCUGAAGGAAAAUCUCAAUACUAUGACUGCACUGAGAACAAGGUGAGAACCCUGAGACAAAUAAUGUGUGUUCCAGAGUAUCUUGGACACUCUAGCUGCUCUGUACCUAGUUAAGAUGAGAAUGGAAACAAAGUUCAGGUUCUUGGUUAGACAUAGACAAUCGUGUGUGUUUGUUGAUUUGGGGAUAUUUGCUUUUUUUCCUCGGGCAAAUGGAAUUUCAAUAAACUGUAGCAAAAAGUUUUAGGACAGAUCGUAUACAUACAUAUAUCUUUUCCUCUAGAGAUAUCUAUGCAUACUAUGCAACUCCUAAGGGUUUCUUCUUACUGUGGCUAAACUUUCUAGUAACUUUCUAGUAAAGUUAUGCUUUUCACUUAUUGGGCCUUUCCUUCCAAGUAGUAUUAGCAACUACUUCACUUAACUCUUUGCAUUGAUCUGAUUUACCUCUCAUUUCCCUCGUUAGAAUAACCCUCAUGUAAAGGAGUGCAAAAGCAGAGAAGAGAAGUUGCUGAAAAUCCCAGCUAGGUGGCAGAUCCAGACAACAAUAUUCCCUACUGGUAUGAGCCCACAACAGGAGAAAUAGCUUUUUAGUAUUUGUUUACCUGGUAGAUCGUUCAAAAGAACCAUGCCAACCUUUUCUCGUUCUGUGUUCUGAAAGUUGACGCAGGUAGAAGCUUUGAUUAUGUAUUCAAGGCUGGUGAAAUGAAAAUUAAAUUCUUUGGUUUUCUGAGUCUGUUACUGGUGGAAAUAGGACUAUAAAUUGGUGUCACUGAUAAUACUACAGUAACAAGCAGGAACAUUAAGAAAGAAUUGGAAGUAUUUUUGGCAUGCUUUUGAUUUUAAUUUAACAUUUAGAAAAAAAAAACAGAUUUUUAAUUUAAAUGAGUGUUCUGUAUUAAAAACAAGAAAAAUCACCGUUGCAUGUAAGUGAGCUACUGAUUUGCCGUUCACCAGUAUGUGAUCCGCAGCAGCAAUCAAACACUUCAGGAUAACUUUCAUUGUGCAAUAACUGCAUCACCAGUAAAAGCACAGAGAGGAAUAUGCAGAAAACAACCCCUCUGUAAAUUUGUGGAACAAAGAAGUGCUUCCACUGUUCAAAAAUGACAUUUUUAUUUGUGUGUGAUUUUUAAAUCUGAAUAAAGUAGAUAUUAGGAUGGAUAGUAUAGACAUGUGGACGCAGAUGAGAGCAGGCCUGAUGUGGACCUAGAGGCAGGUGCAGCAGCUCUGUGUUACAGUCAGAAAGAUUAACGUGGUGAAAGGACAAUACAGGUGUGCAGUAACAAAGAGACUAGCAUAAAUGGAAUGGUGCUAUAAAGAAAAAGUAUUCAGCUACCUCCAAGGAUCUAGUCUUAUAGGAAAGACUCCACA